RNA transcript from Perca flavescens (yellow perch), 5173 nucleotides. It is a transcript of the gene named protein tyrosine phosphatase non-receptor type 11b, with no coding region annotated. The transcript has 17 exons. Lineage: Eukaryota; Metazoa; Chordata; Actinopteri; Perciformes; Percidae. The record is from RefSeq and is a predicted model, not a curated record.
UGUAGCACAACAAGCAGGUUCAACAGAUCUCUCACUCUUCACAGCGAUUCGGCAGAGGCAAAAGGGGAACGUUUGUGGACACUUGACAGCUUUCAGAGACUGCUAUGACAUCUCGCAGGUGGUUCCACCCCAACAUCACAGGCAUCGAGGCAGAACGGCUUCUGUUGACCCGGGGUGUCCACGGCAGUUUCCUGGCUCGGCCGAGCAAGAGCAAUCCGGGGGAUUUUACCCUCUCUGUCAGGCGCAAUGAUGAGGUGACCCACAUUAAGAUCCAGAACUCAGGUGACUACUACGACCUGUACGGAGGUGAGAAGUUUGCCACACUGGCCGAGCUGGUGCAAUAUUACACCGAACAACAGGAUCUCCUGCGCGAGAGGAACGGCCAUGUCAUCGAGCUCAAGUACCCACUCAACUGCAAGGACCCGACCUCUGAGAGGUGGUACCAUGGGCACCUCUCUGGGCGAGAUGCAGAGAAACUGCUGACAGACAAAGGCAAAGCUGGUAGCUUCCUGGUACGGGAGAGCCAGAGUAAACCGGGGGACUUCGUACUCUCAGUUCUCACCAAUGAGGAGAAACACGAGAAUGUGGACCGCAAGACCAAGGUCACCCACGUUAUGAUACGCUACCAGCAGGACGGUAAAUACGACGUGGGCGGCGGUGAGAGGUUCGACACCCUGGCUGACCUGGUGGAUCACUACAAGAAGAACCCCAUGGUGGAGAAAAGUGGCAUCGUAGUGCACCUCAAACAGCCCUUUAAUGCCACGAGAAUAAAUGCAGCCAACAUCGAGAACCGGGUACGAGAGCUCAACAAAGUAGCAGACAACUCUGAGAAACCCAAACAGGGAUUCUGGGAAGAAUUUGAGGUACUACAGCAGCAGGAGUGCAAACUGCUGUAUCCCCGGAAAGAAGGCCAGAAGCCAGAAAACAAGAGCAAAAACAGAUACAAGAAUAUCCUCCCCUUCGACACAACUCGGGUUGAACUCAGGGAAAUAGAUCCAGAUGUUCCUGGUUCAGACUACAUCAAUGCCAACUACAUCAGAAGUAAGCAUGAAGAGCGGCGCCACGAGGAUGAGGGCAAAGUCUUCAUCGCCACCCAAGGGUGCCUACAAAAUACGGUCGUUGACUUCUGGAAGAUGGUGUAUCAGGAGAAUACACACGUCAUCGUCAUGACCACGAAGGAGAUGGAGCGAGGACGGAACAAAUGUGUUUGUUACUGGCCCGACCUCCACGCCACUAAGGAGUUUGGUAAGGUGCUGGUAAGGAACGUGGAUGAGCGGCCAGCACAAGACUACAUCCUGAGGCAGCUGGAGGUGACCCGUCUAGACAGGAAAGAGCCUCCUAGGUACAUCUGGCACUACCAGUACCUGAGCUGGCCGGACCACGGGGUGCCCAAUGAACCCGGCGGUGUCCUCUGGUUCCUAGAGGAGGUCAACCGCACCCAGAGUACCAUUCCAGACACCGGACCUAUUGUCGUCCACUGCAGUGCAGGCAUCGGCAGGACAGGCACCAUAAUCGUCGUUGACAUCCUUAUUGACAUUAUUAACCGCCAAGGUCUAGAUUGUGACAUCGACGUCCCAAAGACCAUCCAGAGGGUACGGCAGCAGAGAUCAGGCAUGGUACAGACAGAGGCCCAGUAUAAGUUCAUCUACAUGGCUGUGCAGCAGUACAUAGACACGGCUCAGAAGAGACUGGAGGAGGAGCAGAGGAAUAAGUUGAAGGAGAGGGAAUAUUCCAAUAUCAAAUAUCCCCAGAUGACCAACUCAAGGUCCAAACCCAGCAUGACAUCCUCACGCUCUUCUUCUGUGAUGACAAAUGAUGAUUCAUCUAGUGUGUACGAGAACAUAAACUUUAAAAGCCCUCAGACGUCAUUUAGCAGUAACACCAGGAGGUAAAACCAUCGCUGUUGACCUGAACAUCUCUCUGUCUGCCUCCCUGUGGCAGUAACACUCCAAGAUACAGUAUGCUGCAUUGCGCCAGCAAAGGUAAAGAAAGAAGAAGAAGAAGAAGAAGAAGAAGAAGAAGACGACAAGCAAGCUAGUUAACAUGGAUAUAGACAAUCCUGCAUCUUGAAUACUUAAAAAAAAUGUCUUUGUAAAUGUUUAUAAGGCGAUGGACACAAUUGUUAUACCCCAAACAUACACACAAUGUGUUUUGUUUCAGCGGAGGUGUCGCUUCAUCAGCUCCUAAAAAUCCCUUGAGGGAAGAGGGAGUGUGUUGCUCUGACUACACCCCACAUCAGUGGACCCUGCCUGGGCAGAAGGUGGCGAGCUGACCCCUCUCUCCCUGCUGCCGUCCUGCUUGACCUCUCUGGAGUCAAACCAUAGAGACAAUGACUCCUCAGCAUAGUGCUCUCGCUAAGGGCCCUUGUCCCCUCUUCCCCUCCCCCACCCACCGUUCCAGCCUCUUCCUCUCUUAACCAGCACGAGUGCCUUGUCACAGGAUGUGUCCGUAAUCUAGCCUCCCCAAACCUGCUGUUACUUCUUUACUGUUACAAUUUCCAAAUCCUGGAAAUCCAAGUUGACGUGAGAAACAUCCAGUUUCCCCUAGGUGUGACGGAUAAUAAACAUGGAGUCUAUGGAGUCUGCUGCGGCCUGAACUGAACAGAACUGUACGGAACCCAAGAAUAGGUCAACGCUAAGCUGUUUGUCCGCUCUUUGCCAGAAAUCAGUCUGUUCGCUAUCCCUCUUUCUCUGUCUUUGCCGGCUUCAUUUAAACUCGACCUUAGACUGUUUUUGCGGCAUUGUGUCUCUCCAGCUGUGUUGGUUAUUAAUGUGGGUGCUGAGUGAUAACAAGGACAGUUACGUAACCUGCUACAGGACCCUGAGGUACAGGGAAGGCAAGCAAGCCCUUUAAAAAAUAAUUUGACACAAUAAUUUCAGGUGUGAAAGUGGACUUAUUUUUUUUUUUUUUUUUUUUUUAAGAUGUGAUUGAUUUUCAACGUUUUAUUGUUAAAGAGUUGUACAGUAUGUAACUCCUGCAAAUCAGCUGUUCUGUACUUUAACAGGACUGGAGGCCAUUAAUGGUUAAUGGGACACAUCAGUCCUGUCUGUCAUCAGAACAUGGCCUCCAGCUGGUGUUUUUGUCUGUCCAUUUAAUCAGCUUGUUUUCAUUAUUUCUUGGUGUUUUUGUUGAUACUGUGUAACAUAUGAGAUGUUAAUUUUUUUUUUUAAAUAUAUAUAUACAUUGAUAAAGGAGCAUUAGGAUGGGAGAAAUCAUGUUCAAGUACAAAUGUCUAAGCAGCGUCUCCAGCACUAAGUUUGAUUUACCGAUAAAUUGUAAUAGUAGUUCCAAGUCCACAUUUGACAGGAAACAGGUGGAGGGGAUUCCUGAAUGGGUGUUUUGGAGUUGAGCUCGGCUGACCGCCGUCUCUCAGCGGCGUUUGACUGGCUGUCCUCGUUAAUCGGCAGGUCUGAUGCAGUUCAACAUCUGUCGCAGGAGAUCGUCACAAGGAGACAAGAGAAUGGGGGCGAUUACAGUGGGCCAGAUGGCCAUCCGCCUGAGAUUGAAGAAUAGAUUUGUCUCCAAAAAGUAAUUUAGAAGAUGACCAUAAUCCAGGCUUGAUGAUAGUAGGCCGUGUAAGCCAACGUCAUCGAUGUGAUAACGAAGACGGUGGUGUCAUGGAGCACUGAACCCUCUGCACGGUCUGGCAGAUUGUUUGCUAUUUUUAGCCUCCUGAAUCAGCACCAAAAUAUCCUACUCAAAUACAAGUGCACAUGCGUUUGUGAAAUCUAAUCUAGCUUGUUUAAAAUGUAAUGACUUAAUGAUCCAGAAAUCCUUAAAAAACUCUCACAGUAGGAAGAUGUCAUGAUGAUGUGUGUUCGGUCUACCUUUUUAUUUUUAUUUAAAGCAUCAAAUGAAUGAACAGCACCUGUUGGUGAUGUUUGUGCUCACUCAGACCAUUCCUUCUUUCUCCACCAACGGAAAUGUGUGACUAACCAGGUCAAGGACGCUCACAGACUGGACUCGCCUUGUUUUCUUCCUCGUCAUAAAUUGGCCAGUUUCUGAAGCUGCAACUCGUGAUUCUUAAGAAACGUGAUUCUAAAAUACAGCUAAGUGUGAUCAGAAUGUACUUGACUAACAGUACUGAGUCAUUGCACUGCAAUAAACUGUAAUUUGUAGUACACAAAUACAGUAAUACAUUAACCUGCCGCAGCCAUAUCAUCCUGUGUGACAACGCAGUUCUUUCAUUUAUUAAGGUCUCAGUUGAAGCUUUGUUUGUCCAGUGAUUUCAGUCACUUGUCUGUCAGCGUGAAGAGUUUUCCAGGUAUAAAUGGUUGCCAAUGUAUUUUAAUGGUUAAUUCCUUUUGUGAAUAAAAGCUAUGUUUUAUGAAAUGUGUGGCAUCGAUGCCCUGUGUCAGUGAAGGCCUAUGUCUGUCUAGAAAUAUGCUGCACCACUUGAUGUACUUCAGUUGAAUUUGGACAUUGAAGCUGUUUGGAUUCUUGUAGUUUUUCCUUUUGUCCUUUUCCCAUCUGAACUGUGAUCUUUGUCCGAUGAAUGACAAAUGACCUUGGUCGUUUUGUUUCUGAACUAUCUCGCGCUGUGGAUAAUUUUAGAUUUUUAUUGUAUUUCACUUUGCCUCUAUGGGUCAAAAUCUUUUUUUUAUGAUGUGGUGAAACAUCAAUACUUGAAAGUGUGAAACUGCUGAAUCUUUGGUUGUGUGUGAAUGUCCAUUGGCUGUGGAAGUAUUUUUGGUAGUGCACUAGACUUGUCAGUGUUGUUUCUUUUUUUCUUGUCGUUUCAUUUCAAAUUGCAUUUGAAAUUGAUUGUUUUGUCCACUCUUGCAUUUUAUAUUGUGUCUGAAUUAUUACUAUUAUUAUUAUUAUUAUUAUUAUUAUUAUUGGUGUAAUUUUACCAUUGAUAAGUACAUUUUGAGUUGAACCAGUAUACAUGGGGGUAUGCAGUAGUAAUGCGGUAUUUUCUUUUUGCUUGUCCUCUUACAUUUACUUGAACUUGAUUUUGAUGUCAAUUUUUGGUCGCAGUAUGCCUGCAGUGAGUAGUAAUAUUCUGAGUGCUCCCAUGUUGUUUAGUGGAGGCUCUUCCUCUUUUUCCUCUUCUUGCACUGGCUCUGCCCAGACGCCUUCUUGCUGUAUAGGCUACAACUGCUGAUGCAAUGAACAGCCAGAAAUGGCACAAAAAUGGUUUAUUAUCAUAGAGUUUAAUAAAAAUCUGCGA